AGAGUUUGAUCCUGGCUCAGGACGAACGCUGGCGGCGUGCUUAACACAUGCAAGUCGAGCGGAAAGGCCCUUCGGGGUACUCGAGCGGCGAACGGGUGAGUAACACGUGAGCAACCUGCCCCAGGCUUUGGGAUAACCCCGGGAAACGGGGGCUAAUACCGGAUAUUCACUUGCUGUCGCAUGGUGGUGAGUGGAAAGAUUUUUCGGCUUGGGAUGGGCUCGCGGCCUAUCAGCUUGUUGGUGGGGUGAUGGCCUACCAAGGCGACGACGGGUAGCCGGCCUGAGAGGGCGACCGGCCACACUGGGACUGAGACACGGCCCAGACUCCUACGGGAGGCAGCAGUGGGGAAUAUUGCACAAUGGGCGGAAGCCUGAUGCAGCGACGCCGCGUGAGGGAUGACGGCCUUCGGGUUGUAAACCUCUUUCAGCAGGGACGAAGCGUAAGUGACGGUACCUGCAGAAGAAGCGCCGGCCAACUACGUGCCAGCAGCCGCGGUAAGACGUAGGGCGCGAGCGUUGUCCGGAUUUAUUGGGCGUAAAGAGCUCGUAGGCGGCUUGUCGCGUCGACUGUGAAAACCCGCAGCUCAACUGCGGGCCUGCAGUCGAUACGGGCAGGCUAGAGUUCGGUAGGGGAGACUGGAAUUCCUGGUGUAGC
This 655-nucleotide ribosomal RNA is filed under the name uncultured Micromonospora sp. RNAcentral's name for it is "bacterial SSU rRNA". It matches the Rfam family "Bacterial small subunit ribosomal RNA", at positions 8 to 679 of the family's 1533-position model. Lineage: Bacteria; Bacillati; Actinomycetota; Actinomycetes; Micromonosporales; Micromonosporaceae. The record is from RNAcentral.